Molecule: RNA transcript, 2283 nt
Organism: Zingiber officinale
Lineage: Eukaryota; Viridiplantae; Streptophyta; Magnoliopsida; Zingiberales; Zingiberaceae
Gene name: RNA-binding KH domain-containing protein RCF3-like
Exons: 8
Source: RefSeq, a predicted model, not a curated record
UUCGAGAACAGCAGUUAAUGGGAGAUUUACGGGCCCGCUCUUUCGUUAUAAAUAAACGAGGUCUGCUUCAGUUAAAGGAAUCGUCCGCCACGCGCUAGGGUUUCCGCAGUGCCCAAGGAUUUCCUCAGAGCCAAGCAAGAUCUUGGGUGACACUUUUCCUAGAAGAUAAAAACUCAAUUUAAAAGCAAUGGCUGGACGCAGAAACAAUAAUGGGAAAAGAUCUUACUCUCACUCUGAUCAUUCUGAAAAUGGAGGAAGCAAGAGAAGAAAUCCCGGUGAUGAAAGAGACACCUACAUUCCUGGGCAUGAGGAUACUGUUUUCCGUUAUUUAUGUCCAGGAAAGAAAAUAGGAAGCAUCAUUGGGAGAGGUGGCGAGAUUGUGAAGCAACUGAGAUCUGAUACACAAGCUAAGAUUAGAAUUGGGGAGACUGUACGUGGUUGUGAUGAGCGUGUCAUUGCCAUUUUUAGCACAAGGGAGGAAACCAAUAUAUUUGAAGAUAGUGAUGACAAAAUGUGUCCUGCUCAAGAUGCUCUAUUCAAGGUCCAUGAGCGACUUGUUACUGAUGAGGUAGUGGCCGAAGAAGAUAGUGAUGGAGAUAGUCCUCAAGUUACUGCUCGACUUCUUGUGCCUUCUGAUCAGAUUGGUAGUAUCAUUGGGAAAGGAGGACAAAUCAUUCAAGGAAUUCGUAGCGAUACUGGUGCUCAAGUCCGCAUUCUUAAGAAUGAUCGCCUCCCAGCUUGUGCCAUUAGUGGUGAUGAGCUACUCCAGAUCAGUGGAGAAGCAUCAGUUGUGAAGAAGGCUCUUCUUCAAGUUUCAUCACGUCUCCAUGAUAAUCCAUCUCGUUCGCACCACCUUCUAUUUGCCAGUUCACCAUCAGUGUUCCCUGGUGCUAGUCAGUUUGGAGUCUCAAGCAAUGCUGGCCCAUUAAUUGGUAUUGGCCCCUUGGUAGGUUCUUAUAGAGGUUAUAAAGGAGAAGCACCUGUAGAUUGGCUUUACCCACCUUCAAGAGAUGAAGGUGCUGCAAAGGAGUUCAGCUUACGUCUUCUCUGUCCUGCUGCAAACAUUGGAAGUGUAAUAGGAAAGAAUGGUGUGAUCAUUAACCAAAUAAGGCAGGAAUCUGGAGCUUCUAUUAAAGUAGAUAGUAACUCUGUUGAAGAUGACUGCAUAAUCACAAUUUCUGCUAAAGAGUUCUUCGAUGAUCCAAUCUCUCUCACAAUAGAUGCUGCAGUUCGCUUGCAGCCGCGUUGUAGUGAAAAAAGUGAAAAAGAAUCAGGUGAAUUUUCAUAUACCACCCGCCUUCUGGUAUCCACUUUGCAGAUUGGUUGCCUGAUUGGUAAAGCUGGAUCAAUCAUUUCUGAGAUGAGGAGGGCUACAAGAGCCAACAUACGUGUGCUUUCAAAAGAAAAUGUUCCGAAAGUUGCUUCUGAAGAUGAUGAGAUGGUUCAGAUUAGUGGAGAGAUUGACAUUGCAAGAGAUGCACUUGUCCAUGUGACAACUCGUCUAAAAGCCAAUUUAUUUGAAAGGGAUAGUACAUCAGCUGCACAUGGUUCUUCUGCUCCUCACCAUCGUUUUCCAGUUGAUGCUUCUGAUGGUCCAAAAUAUCAUGGAGGCAGGGAUAGUAAAUCACAUGGUCAUGGAUUUUCAUAUUCUGGUGGAUAUGGUACUUCCCGUAAUUUGCUACCGUCUGAUACUUAUGCAGGCUAUAGCAGUUCACAACUACCUUCAGGGUGGUGGUAGCAAUUAUAGUUCAUAUGAUGGAUACUCUUCACGUUAUGGAAACAUUGGGUUAUCUGGUCCCAACAGAUCCCAUGGGAAACAUCAUGAUUAUUAAAACCUCAGUGAGUAGGACCAACAGUUUAGGUCUGAGAAGCCUGGAGCCAGCCUAUAUAUGAAGCCUCAAGCCUAAACCAGACGACCAGAUGAACAAGUCUGAGAUGUUUAUCUCCCACAUAAAAUGAUGUUACCAUUUAUCUCCUACCUGCCCCUUGCUUUAUACCAGAACAUUACUGCAUAACCAUGGACCUAAGCUUCAAGCUUCCCAAUCAAGCUUUGUUUAAGGAUUAUUCAGCUGUUUGUAUUUUGAACCUUGACUGUCCUCUGUUGGUGAUCACUGACUAGCGUGCCUAUAUUUUAGAUAUUAUUUCUUAUUGAAACCUUUGUCGAAGGUUCCUACUGAUCUGUACCUUAUUGAUGUCCUAUUACAACGUUUAGAUUUACUUCCGCUGCUACCAUAUGGUCUGUGAGCAUUUAUUCUGUGCAAUUAGAUUGUUAUCUUGCCUCUC